UACGAAGGGGGCUAGCGUUGCUCGGAAUUACUGGGCGUAAAGGGAGCGUAGGCGGACAUUUAAGUCAGGGGUGAAAUCCCGAGGCUCAACCUCGGAACUGCCUUUGAUACUGGGUGUCUUGAGUGUGAGAGAGGUGAGUGGAACUCCGAGUGUAGAGGUGAAAUUCGUAGAUAUUCGGAAGAACACCAGUGGCGAAGGCGACUCACUGGCUCAUUACUGACGCUGAGGUGCGAAAGCGUGGGGAGCAAACAGG
Molecule: ribosomal RNA, 253 nt
Filed under: uncultured bacterium
Lineage: Bacteria
Description: partial 16S ribosomal RNA
Rfam family: Bacterial small subunit ribosomal RNA
Source: RNAcentral